AUUGAACGCUGGCGGCAUGCCUUACACAUGCAAGUCGAACGGUAACAGGUUAAGCUGACGAGUGGCGAACGGGUGAGUAAUGUAUCGGAACGUGCCCAGUCGUGGGGGAUAACUGCUCGAAAGAGCAGCUAAUACCGCAUACGACCUGAGGGUGAAAGCGGGGGAUCGCAAGACCUCGCGCGAUUGGAGCGGCCGAUAUCAGAUUAGGUAGUUGGUGAGGUAACGGCUCACCAAGCCGACGAUCUGUAGCUGGUCUGAGAGGACGACCAGCCACACUGGGACUGAGACACGGCCCAGACUCCUACGGGAGGCAGCAGUGGGGAAUUUUGGACAAUGGGCGCAAGCCUGAUCCAGCCAUGCCGCGUGCGGGAAGAAGGCCUUCGGGUUGUAAACCGCUUUUGUCAGGGAAGAAAAGGUUCUGGCUAAUACCUGGGACUCAUGACGGUACCUGAAGAAUAAGCACCGGCUAACUACGUG
RNAcentral lists this ribosomal RNA (477 nucleotides) under uncultured bacterium. Its description in RNAcentral is "partial 16S ribosomal RNA". It matches the Rfam family "Bacterial small subunit ribosomal RNA", at positions 30 to 507 of the family's 1533-position model. The record is from RNAcentral.